Long non-coding RNA from Xiphophorus couchianus (Monterrey platyfish), 767 nucleotides. RefSeq lists it as uncharacterized. Lineage: Eukaryota; Metazoa; Chordata; Actinopteri; Cyprinodontiformes; Poeciliidae. The transcript is spliced from 4 exons. The record is from RefSeq and is a predicted model, not a curated record.
CUGUUGGGUCAAAGCAGAGAGAGGUCUUCUCCUCAAAGUUUGCCUUCACGCCCACCACCACUCUAGUUUCCUACCUCCCAAAGAAAAACAAGAAUGUAGUUCUUCUGAGCACACUGCACAAAGACGGCGACAUUAGUGAUCGUGAGGACAGGAAGCCAAUCAUCAUCCUGGAAUACAACCACAACAAAGGAGAUGUGGACAACCUAGAUAAGGUGAUUGGAACAUAUAGCUGCAGAAGAAUGACUGCCCGCUGGCCCCUGGUCAUCUUCCACAACAUCAUUGAUGUGUCCUCCUACAAUACCUUUGUGAUUUGGAGAGAGAUCAACCCAACCUGGAUGCCUCAUAAGCAUAACAAAAGGAGAGUGUUCCUGGAGCACUUAGGAAAGGCAAUCGGAACUCCACUCAUUGAAAGAAGGAAGCACAUUCCCCGCACAGAAGCCUCAGCAGCAGUUGUGAAAGCUAUUCAGAGUGCAGCAGCUCCUGAUCAACUUGGGGAUCCAUCUACCACAGCCACUUCCCCAGCUAGGGCAAGUAAGAGGAAGAGAUGUCAGUUCUGCCCUCAAAAGAAGGACUGUAAAACACGUACUGUGUGCUGCAGGUGUAAGAAAUAUAUCUGCAAAGGCUGUGCGCUUGCAUACUGCCCUACAUGUGCUAAUUAGUUGAAUGGGUUAUUUUUCAAAUUUUUGUAUUGUACAUUCUCUUAAAUUGUUCACUGGAGAAAAGUAAAAGUAAAUGAGUCAUUGAGAUGAAUAAAAAUGCAUUCGAAA